AUAAAAAAAGAUUAUUAUUUAUCUCAGAUAUGAUUAGAAAUCAGUAUCAGUUCAUAAAAUAUACUUUGUUACAUAAACAACUGAAAAUGUUAGAAGUCAAAUCAUGAAGUGGUAAAGAUUUGAGAUACAUGAAGACUGAGAAUUAACUACUAAAACUUUUCAGGGCUUGAGAACUCCUAUUAGAGAAUCCUAGUGAAGUCUCCAUCAAGUCCUCCUUUGCAUUGGUAGCGUUUAUAUUUGGACUGCAAGG
This 250-nucleotide long non-coding RNA is filed under the name Bos taurus (domestic cattle). RNAcentral's name for it is "long non-coding RNA NONBTAT026918". Lineage: Eukaryota; Metazoa; Chordata; Mammalia; Artiodactyla; Bovidae. The record is from RNAcentral.